GGUCCUUCAGCCUAAUUAAAGGUUUAGUUUAGGUGGACAAAGGAACGUUUUAGGAGAUUGUUCCUUACAGUGUUGUUCGAUUUUAGAGGCUAACCGUGUGAUUAUUUGUUUUUGGCAGGUUUUUUGCUAUUGUUUUUAGUUUGGGUAUGUUUUCUGCGUUAUAUAAGCCUGUAUACUUUAAUUGCCUUAUUGUUUGGUGCAGACAUCCACCCUGAUAAAACAAGGCGGAAGUUUCCCAGACUGGUUCCCAAGUAGCACACGGAAGCAUUCGUUGAUGUACGUCUUCAGAUCAGGGUAAGGAGUGAAGGCCUUCACCAAUGCACCAAGAAUAGCCAGAGAAAAGUCACUCACGGCUUCCUUUGGUACAGCAGCACCCGUACGAAGCCAUUCUGUCAGCCAUGUUGCAAUAGCAUUAAUGUCGUGUCUCUCUGACAGCAUUUGCACAACUGGGACUGAGGAAUUGUCCCCUGUCAGAACGCCCUGAUAAAGGAAGAUGUGGCCAGAUGUACCAUUUGGUCUCACAAGUCUUUUCACAACCGAGCCUGUUGCAUCAAAGCAAACUACAGAGGGGCAUUUUUUGGACAAUGCUCUAUACACAUGGAGCUGAGUUGGACUCCAAUAGUGGCAGAAGAACUUGUCUAGACCAAUGUCUCUUAUACAACCACUGUGAGGGUCGCCAAAUUUGGUAGGUGACUUGGCUCAGGAUCUCCAAUAUCCAUCAAAUCUGAUGCCUUCGCUGACCUCCAUACAGCCGGCUCCAUCCUGCCCUCACACAGCUCUUUUGAAAUCUGUGCACGAAGGUCUCCAGACAUGAACCUCUUGGAACGGCCAGUGUGCAGGGAGAUAUCAGUGUCUUCGAUGGAACACUCGAGAACCAUUGGGCUGUUGACUGUUGGUUCUCUGGCACAUGUCAUUUUAACAUGGCCUUGACACUCUUUACAGAAGCCCUUAAUGUCUAUGUAGUUGCUGGUUCUAGAUGAAUAAACUUUUGCUCUCUGGAACACAAAUGUGCAUGUACUUUUAACUUUUUUCCAGAUCAGGUGGUUGAUUACAUGACUCCAAGUGCCUGGCUUCAAAAUCAGAUAUUCCCUUUUGCCGGAUGAUGAAAACUUGUCAUUGUAUUGUACUUUUUCAGGUACAAAUUUCAUCCAUUCCUCAAAAGGGACUUCAAGCUGAAAAACUGAGCAGCUGUCCAGUCCAGGAGAAAUGGAGCCAGAAUCAAACUCUGUGUCCACACUGCUCUCAGGAUCAGUUUCCUGCUCAUUGAUCUCCAAACAUGACCAGAUGUUGUGUCUGUUUAACUUUACAAAAGUGUACAGGGCUUUUGGAGACAUCUUAUUUUCCAGCUGCUGACUUAGUUCUCUCCAAAUAGUGGCAGCUGGAGUGGCUAUUUUGCCUCUUUUGAAGUGCAGAGAACUGCAAAAAGGGAAUCCCUGUCUACGGUUGGCUGUCGAGGCAUCUAGUUAAAGAAUAAAAAGACUGAUUAGCAUUAAAUCAAACAUGCUGGCCUAUAAUAUCUGUCAUGCCAUGAAAAAUUAAUAUUAUAGAAUUGUUACAACUCGAAACCUUAGUCGUCUUACGUAAUUCUAGAUGGCAUUUAUGCAUUUUUACUACUUGUUAAUGUUCAAUUAAAGUAUCAGUUCAACUUUAAAAAUGUGUCUUAGCUCUGGAGUCUACAGAUGUGCCUAAUCACCUAAUCAUUGUGAAGCCUUGCAGAAUGUUUCAAGAAAUUCAAGUCUGGACUUAAAAUGUAAUUGAAUUGUGGAUUUCCAGAAAUAUGCAUUGCAUUGUAUGAAAUUAACUUCCUGAUCCCCUGGCCAAGUUAGCUAAAUAUGACAUAGUUGUCAUGUGCAAGUGUGACUAAAAAUAACUUAUUUGGUGCUAGGAUUUACUCCCAUGUGGCAGCUAGCCCUGUAUGUAUGGCAUUUAACCAAGAAUAUCCCACUAUUUAUUCUCUUACCUUGUUCCAAAAAUCUCAUUUGACAGAUGUCCAAAAAAUUCCAAGAAUGUCAAUUUUAAGCCAAAAAAUAAAUAAAUAAGACUAUUCAAAGUUUUAAAGGCUAAUGCUCUUGCCGCCUAGACAAGAUCACUGGCUCACUGGGUGGCGUCACUCCCUAUGGCAUUGCGUGAGGACUUCAUAUAUAAACUUGCAGAAUCUUAAAAAAAAAAAAAAAA
Molecule: long non-coding RNA, 2175 nt
Organism: Fundulus heteroclitus (mummichog)
Lineage: Eukaryota; Metazoa; Chordata; Actinopteri; Cyprinodontiformes; Fundulidae
Exons: 2
Source: RefSeq, a predicted model, not a curated record